ACGUUAGCGGCGGACGGGUGAGUAACACGUGGGUAACCUACCUAUAAGACUGGGAUAACUUCGGGAAACCGGAGCUAAUACCGGAUAAUAUUUCGAACCGCAUGGUUCGAUAGUGAAAGAUGGUUUUGCUAUCACUUAUAGAUGGACCUGCGCCGUAUUAGCUAGUUGGUAAGGUAACGGCUUACCAAGGCGACGAUACGUAGCCGACCUGAGAGGGUUAUCGGCCACACUGAACUGAGACACGGUCCAGACUCCUACGGGAGGCAGCAGGG
Molecule: ribosomal RNA, 272 nt
Filed under: uncultured Staphylococcus sp.
Lineage: Bacteria; Bacillati; Bacillota; Bacilli; Caryophanales; Staphylococcaceae
Description: partial 16S ribosomal RNA
Rfam family: Bacterial small subunit ribosomal RNA
Source: RNAcentral